This 114-nucleotide ribosomal RNA is filed under the name Anolis carolinensis (green anole). Lineage: Eukaryota; Metazoa; Chordata; Lepidosauria; Squamata; Anolidae. The record is from RNAcentral.
GCAUGGGACAAUAUCCUAUAAGUACCAGAUCCCAUCUGAUCUUGAAAAUUAAUCUGGGUUAGCUAGGUAAGCAUUUGGGUGGGAGACCACUAAUAAAUAUAAGUGUUGUAGGCU